Long non-coding RNA from Cebus imitator (Panamanian white-faced capuchin), 403 nucleotides. RefSeq lists it as uncharacterized. The transcript has 2 exons. The record is from RefSeq and is a predicted model, not a curated record. NCBI's taxonomy places the organism in Eukaryota, Metazoa, Chordata, Mammalia, Primates, Cebidae.
UUCAGCCUCCCAAAGUGUUAGGAUUAUAGGUGUGUGUCACCAUGCCCAGCCUGCAUUUACUUUAAUUACAACAUUUGUUUCCCUUUAGCUUUAUCCUGGUGGACAUGUAAGAUAGAUGUAACUUUGGUAUUUGCCUGAAAUAUUGAUGUUGGUCAAGGGGAAGCACUUGAACAGAGCUCAUGGUACCAGAUGUGAAGUAAAGUCUACGGACAUCGGAAACGUUGUGGGACUCAGGGCAAAAGUCCUAUACCAGGAGGUCUUGAGAGUUCACAAGAGGCAGUAGAGAUGGGGUUUCACCAUUUGGCCACACUGCUCUCGAACUCCUUACCUCAGAUGAUCUGCCCACCUUGGCCUCCCAAAAUGCUGGGAUUACAGGUAUGAGCCGCGGCACCUGGCCAGAAAA